This 253-nucleotide ribosomal RNA is filed under the name uncultured bacterium. RNAcentral describes it as "partial 16S ribosomal RNA". It matches the Rfam family "Bacterial small subunit ribosomal RNA", at positions 524 to 776 of the family's 1533-position model. The record is from RNAcentral.
UACGUAGGGUGCGAGCGUUAAUCGGAAUUACUGGGCGUAAAGGGUGCGCAGGCGGUUCUGCAAGUCAGGCGUGAAAUCCCCGGGCUUAACCUGGGAAUGGCGCUUGAAACUACGGGACUGGAGUAUGGCAGAGGGAGGUGGAAUUCCACGUGUAGCGGUGAAAUGCGCAGAUAUCAGGAGGAACACCGGUGGCGAAGGCGGGUCUCUGGGCCGAAAUUGACGCUGAGGAGCGAAAGCGUGGGGAGCAAACAGG